CCUACGGUGGGCUGCAGUCGAGAAUUUUGGGCAAUGGACGAAAGUCUGACCCAGCAAUGCCGCGUGCGGGAUGAAGGUCUUCGGAUUGUAAACCGCUGUCGAGGGGGACGAAAAUUGACGGUACCCCUGGAGGAAGCCACGGCUAACUACGUGCCAGCAGCCGCGGUAAUACGUAGGUGGCGAGCGUUGUUCGGAUUUAUUGGGCGUAAAGGGUCCGCAGGGGGUCGAUUAAGUCUGACGUGAAAUCUCUGAGCUCAACUCAGAAAUUGCGUUGGAGACUGGUUGACUAGAGUAUUGGAGAGGUAAUUGGAAUUCCAGGUGUAGCGGUGGAAUGCGUAGAUAUCUGGAAGAACAUCGAAAGCGAAGGCAGAUUACUGGACAAUAACUGACCCUCAGGGACGAAAGCAUGGGGAGCAAACAGGAUUAGAUACCCCUGUAGUC
RNAcentral lists this ribosomal RNA (441 nucleotides) under uncultured bacterium. RNAcentral's name for it is "partial 16S ribosomal RNA". It matches the Rfam family "Bacterial small subunit ribosomal RNA", at positions 338 to 795 of the family's 1533-position model. The record is from RNAcentral.